Molecule: long non-coding RNA, 1734 nt
Filed under: Astyanax mexicanus (Mexican tetra)
Lineage: Eukaryota; Metazoa; Chordata; Actinopteri; Characiformes; Acestrorhamphidae
Description: lncRNA (ENSAMXG00005000859.1)
Source: RNAcentral
UUUUUAAAUUCUUUAGAUUUCAUGUAAUUUUCUUUUUUCUCCUUAAGAUUCCUGUGACCCACUUCUUUCUGAGCUACAUCUAGUGAUUAUUGGAAGUCAUAGUUCUGGGAAGAAUGAUAUAUGCAAUGCCUUUUUCAAGAAAAAGAUGUUUACAUUUUGGACAUUGUCUGAAAAACAGGAGAAAACGCACUGUGUUCGGAACAAAAGUAACUAUAGCCCGUGUUCCUGGCUGGUCCGGAGAUUUGAAUUUGGGUCUAAAGCACCGCAAGUUACGACAGGAGAUUAGAGAUGCAGUGAGUUCAUUUAAAAAGGGGCCUCAUGCAAUCAUUUUGGCCAUGAAAGUGAACUCCACCUUUACAAAAACAACACAAGAGACCCUGGAAAAUGUCCUUACUGAAAGAUUCUGGGAUCACACCAUCAUCGUCUUCACAGGAGGACACGCACAGAUGAACAUUGAACAUGUCAUCAGUCAAAUGAACUUAAAAUCCCUAAUUGAAACUUCCAGUAUCAAGCACUGUGUACUGCAGAAACCUAACAGUUGUGAAGAGAGUAAAGAGCUGAUUGAAGACAUAGCACUGAUGAUCGCAGAAAGAGUUCCACUUCGUUUCUCGGUUGAUGAAAGUGAGCAACCUGAUGAAUCACAUGAAAAGAAGAACCUUUUGAAAAGAUUGGGGGAAAAAAUACAAAAACUGCACAGCUCUGAUAAAAAAACAAGAAUGGAGAGGACUGAGUCAAUGAUGGAGAUAAGACGAUUAGAAAACAUAAGGAGGAUACAUGAAGAUCUUGCCACAAAUCCUUCUCAAUCAGAUCAGUCUGCAUGUGAAACCAUACACACAGAAAGACCAACAAGCACAACUGAGACAACUGUAGAAAUCCAUCAUACAGAGGCAUCAAAGCUUCUGAGUACCAAGAUGACAUGUGGUAAUAAUCCAGUUUAUGACGCCUAUGAACUAAAUGGCUAUUUUAAGUGUGACUCCCGUUUACCAGUCAGUGAGUGUGAUUUUCGCAGCUGGUAUGACUGUCUAGUAAAAAUCUUGGAAGACUUAAGUGAGGAACAGUUCAAGAAAAUGAAAAACAAGAUGUGCAGUAUGCAAAAUGACAGAAUUCCUACAUCACAUGCAGAGGACAAAGACCGAAACACACUGGCACGUAACAUGAUCGAACACUGGGGUGAAGAAAAAUGUAUUAGCUACACCAGAGAUAUUCUAAAAGAUAUUCCACGGAAUGACAAGGAAAUUAUAAAAAUAAUUCUGCCAUUCUUACAGAGCAUUGGAGAAUCAUGGUAAUAAAAGAGAUUUACCAGACUAGAUUAAUGAAUACCAAUUAAUUCUAAAAAAAAAAAACAUCUACAGUGGUAUGAAAAAGUGUGAUGUCGCCGCUAGAACUAGAACUGUCCCUGUGGUCUUCCAUUUCCUCACUAUGUUCCUCACAGUGGAAACUAAAAGCUGGAAUGUCUGAUAUAGCUUUUUGUCUCCUUCCCCAAAACCAUGAUGUUGAACAAUCUUUGUUUUCAGGUCAUUUGGGAGUUGUUUUGAGGCUCCCAUAUCGCCACUCUUUAGAGAAGAUGCAACAAGGUGAAAAACUUACAAUUGGGCACAUUAACCCUUUCUCACAACUGGAUUCACCUGUUUAUGUAUGUCAAGGGUCAAUGAGCUUACCAAAUUCAUUUUGUGUUCCAAUAAUUAGUGCUAAAGGUAUUCAAAUCAAUAAAACAAGGGUGCCCAAAUUUAUGCA